UUCCUUGUACAACUGUUCUGCUUUUCUGACAGCCCAUGAAUUCUUCUGUUGUUCUCUGUCAUCACACUGCUGCUCUCUGCUGUCUGUAAGAAGAAUUCACAUGAAAUUGUUACAGAGGUGGCAUUCAUUUUGGGUUGACCUCUGAAGUUUACGCAAAGAAGGUGACAGUGCAGCAGGAAGAAGAAAGAAAGCAAAAUACAACUUCUUCAGUUAGAUGAAGAUUCCAG
Molecule: long non-coding RNA, 227 nt
Organism: Cygnus olor (mute swan)
Lineage: Eukaryota; Metazoa; Chordata; Aves; Anseriformes; Anatidae
Exons: 3
Source: RefSeq, a predicted model, not a curated record